UCCAGGUCGCCUCAGAAGAGACAGAUUUGCUUUAAAGCCCUACAAAAAAAAAGAGAGACCAGUUCAAUGACACGUUGCUUUUAUACCAGUCACAAGCCUUCAAUCAAAGACGCUCAAAUAGAUGCCACCCUCUUCAUCACGGUACAUGCUCCGCUUCGCACAAAGCAAUACUAACGAGCCCACGGGGUUACAGGAAAUCUGUUCCUUGCUGAUUGGUCCGUUUGACCUCCGAAUACCCGACGGUAUGAUCCGUUAUACUCUUGUGUGCUGAUUGGACGAUUUGACUGGCAGGCGGGUCGGUUAUUAGCAAAUAUGUAUAACAAUUGGAUGGCAGCGGAGUCACUCAUGCUCCUAAGCUACCGGCUCUGCAGGAAAGACGAUGAGUUUGUCAACUGCCACAAAUGUAACCAAUGGCUCCGCUAUCAGCCAUGCAGCCUCAGCCACGUGGCAUGAUACGUCAAUCAACUUAAUUCCAGCAGGAUGGAACCCAAAACGAUGUUUUAAAAUGGACGCUCUCCUGAAAUGCUGACCUACAGUGCAGAAUGGUCCAGUGGCUGCAUCCACAACACUGACUGAAGUCAAGGGAAGCUGUGGAUGCUCAUAACCUCUGAAAAUCAAGCCACAAGAGACUAGAGUGGAUCAACGGGGACACCCAGCUAUGAAGAACUUGGAAGGGGAAAGUGAGAGCAGCAUGGACUGAGGCUUGCAGAAGGGAAAUGAGCUGGAAGCCAAGCAAAAAUAGCAUACCCUGUGAAGAUCCCUUUGAUGAAUGUGAUUUCUCAACGAUGGCGGACAUGGCAUGAUGCUGUGGAUACAAAAGAAACCCUCUGAAGAAGAAAGCUGUCCCCAAACUGAGAAUACGAGCAACUGCAGGGCUGGCAGCAGGAAUUAGAAGUCUGAGCUCCAGUAGGAGGCAUUUUUGUGUGGUAAGGAUGUAUGUUCAUUGUGACAAGCCACACGACAAAAACGGUUUAGGAAUGAUUCCUAUUGCAGGCGAGACUCCAAUGUAACAUUUCAAUAUUGCACUUCCUAACCACCCAUGAAUGCAGAGAUGGAUCCAGUGCUUGCUGAUGAGAAUGCUAGUCGAGGUGUUUCCAAACUUCCCAGGGCAGAUGUCGGGAAUAUAAAGAGCACUGCAGUGCGAGGACAAGCAACAUGUCCAUCACCACAUAAUCUAAGUCCUGAAGUGGAGUGUUUAUUUUCACACAGAAAAGUCACAGUUACGUGGAGUUUCUCUAUAACAGGAGAGAGCCUACCUGGUUAUUGCUCCCGCCUUCUCAGCCCAGGAACAGUG
Long non-coding RNA from Mauremys reevesii (Reeves's turtle), 1294 nucleotides. RefSeq lists it as uncharacterized. The record is from RefSeq and is a predicted model, not a curated record. The transcript is spliced from 6 exons. NCBI's taxonomy places the organism in Eukaryota, Metazoa, Chordata, Testudines, Geoemydidae.